UGCAGUCGAACGAGAGGCUCUUCGGAGUAGUAAAGUGGCAAACGGGUGAGGAAUGCAUGGGUAACCUACCCUUGAGAAGGGAAUAACCCGCCGAAAGGUGAGCUAAUACCCUAUACGCUACACUUUCUAUGGGAGGUGUAGGAAAGCUAAGCCGUGGGUUUGGCACUCAAGGAGGGGCUCAUGUCCUAUCAGCUUGUUGGUAGGGUAACGGCCUACCAAGGCAACGACGGGUAGCUGGUCUGAGAGGAUGAUCAGCCACACUGGCACUGAGAUACGGGCCAGACUCCUACGGGAGGCAGCAGUGAGGAAUAUUGCGCAAUGGGCGAAAGCCUGACGCAGCGACGCCGCGUGGGGGAUGAAGGUUCUCGGAUUGUAAACCCCUUUUGUGAGGAAAGAGAAAGUGGGUAACCACUUAGACGGUACCUCAAGAAAAAGCCACGGCUAACUUCGUGCCAGCAGCCGCGGUAAUACGAAGGUGGCGAGCGUUGUUCGGAUUUACUGGGCGUAAAGAGCACGUAGGCGGUUGGGUAAGCCUCUUGGGAAAGCUCCCGGCUUAACCGGGAAAGGUCGAGAGGAACUACUCAGCUAGAGGACGGGAGAGGAGCGCGGAAUUCCCGGUGUAGCGGUGAAAUGCGUAGAUAUCGGGAAGAAGGCCGGUGGCGAAGGCGGCGCUCUGGAACGUACCUGACGCUGAGGUG
Molecule: ribosomal RNA, 698 nt
Filed under: uncultured bacterium
Lineage: Bacteria
Description: bacterial SSU rRNA
Rfam family: Bacterial small subunit ribosomal RNA
Source: RNAcentral